AAAAAAUUUAUUCCCUGAUCCACAAGCAUGUGGGAGAUAUAAGCUCAAUGUUUUAAAUGGAAAAAUUACCCUUUUUAUUCAUUCUUCUCUCUGGUCGUCUGUGUUAGAAGAUAGAUCCGGAUAUGAGAAUUGUAAGGUUUCGUAUGCUUCAUGCAGUGUUUAUAAGAGGCGGUCAUAUUGACAUAGCUUGGAUUAACAUGAGAAAAAUUUGAAUAUGACAAUGAACUUCAAGUACUAUAUCAACUGGCUCUUCGCUUGUUGCUUAUUUAAAUAAUUUUAUGGAGUCUCACUUGGCUUUUUAUUAAGUUUUAACUCAAUUCGUAGACAAAUAAUUUUCAGUUGCAUCAUUUUGAUGGUACACCGAUGAUAGACAACUGGUUAGCUAUUAUAUCUUGAAUGUGUCAUUUGGCACUUGGAAAGGUGCUAGCAUUGUUACAUAUCAGCUUCUUUAGACAUAUCUUCCUAUACUAAUUUCCGCGGUACAUAUUUGCCUGUAGCGAUUUCGAAGUACAUAUUUGUUAGUACUAAUUCUGCACUACAUAUAUGCGUAAACUGAUUUCACAGUACAUAUUUGCA
Long non-coding RNA from Papaver somniferum (opium poppy), 576 nucleotides. RefSeq lists it as uncharacterized. Lineage: Eukaryota; Viridiplantae; Streptophyta; Magnoliopsida; Ranunculales; Papaveraceae. The record is from RefSeq and is a predicted model, not a curated record. The transcript is spliced from 2 exons.